Molecule: ribosomal RNA, 252 nt
Filed under: uncultured bacterium
Lineage: Bacteria
Description: partial 16S ribosomal RNA
Rfam family: Bacterial small subunit ribosomal RNA
Source: RNAcentral
UACGUAGGCAGCGAGCGUUGUUCGGAGUUACUGGGCGUAAAGGGUGCGUAGGUGGCUCUAUAAGUAUGGUGUGAAAUCUCCCGCUUAACUGGGAGGGUGCGCCGUAGACUGUGGGGCUAGAGUGUGGGAGAGGAAAGUGGAAUUCCUGGUGUAGCGGUGAAAUGCGUAGAUAUCAGGAGGAACACCGGUGGUGUAAACGGCUUUCUGGACCAUAACUGACACUGAGGCACGAAAGCGUGGGUAGCAAACAGG